RNAcentral lists this ribosomal RNA (484 nucleotides) under uncultured bacterium. Its description in RNAcentral is "bacterial SSU rRNA". It matches the Rfam family "Bacterial small subunit ribosomal RNA", at positions 28 to 524 of the family's 1533-position model. The record is from RNAcentral.
GACGAACGCUGGCGGCGUGCUUAACACAUGCAAGUCGAACGAUGAACCGGAGCUUGCUCCGGGGGAUUAGUGGCGAACGGGUGAGUAACACGUGGGCAACCUGCCCCAGACACCGGGAUAACCUUCCGAAAGGAUGGCUAAUACCGGAUAUGACCACUUCGGGCAUCCGACGGUGGUGGAAAGGAUUCUGGUCUGGGAUGGGCCCGCGGCCUAUCAGCUUGUUGGUGGGGUAAUGGCCUACCAAGGCGACGACGGGUAGCCGGCCUGAGAGGGCGACCGGCCACACUGGGACUGAGACACGGCCCAGACUCCUACGGGAGGCAGCAGUGGGGAAUAUUGCGCAAUGGGCGAAAGCCUGACGCAGCGACGCCGCGUGAGGGACGAAGGUCUUCGGAUUGUAAACCUCUUUCAGCAGGGACGAAGCGAAAGUGACUGUACCUGCAGAAGAAGCACCGGCUAACUACGUGCCAGCAGCCGCGGUAAU